Molecule: ribosomal RNA, 465 nt
Filed under: Vreelandella stevensii
Lineage: Bacteria; Pseudomonadati; Pseudomonadota; Gammaproteobacteria; Oceanospirillales; Halomonadaceae
Description: partial 16S ribosomal RNA
Rfam family: Bacterial small subunit ribosomal RNA
Source: RNAcentral
CCUACGGGUGGCAGCAGUGGGGAAUAUUGGACAAUGGGCGAAAGCCUGAUCCAGCCAUGCCGCGUGUGUGAAGAAGGCCUUCGGGUUGUAAAGCACUUUCAGUGGGGAAGAAAGCCUUGGGGCUAAUACCCUCGAGGAAGGACAUCACCCACAGAAGAAGCACCGGCUAACUCCGUGCCAGCAGCCGCGGUAAUACGGAGGGUGCGAGCGUUAAUCGGAAUUACUGGGCGUAAAGCGCGCGUAGGCGGUCUGAUAAGCCGGUUGUGAAAGCCCCGGGCUCAACCUGGGAACGGCAUCCGGAACUGUCAGGCUAGAGUGCAGGAGAGGAAGGUAGAAUUCCCGGUGUAGCGGUGAAAUGCGUAGAGAUCGGGAGGAAUACCAGUGGCGAAGGCGGCCUUCUGGACUGACACUGACGCUGAGGUGCGAAAGCGUGGGUAGCAAACAGGAUUAGAUACCCGUGUAGGC